CCCGNGGCGAGGAGCAGCGCAGGGCCACCGAGUCCCGCGUGGGCAGCCUNNNNNNNNNNNNNNNNNNNNGGUGAGCGGCCCCGGGGGCUGAGGGGCUCCUGAGGGGGCUGAGGGGAAGGGAUGUGUCACCCCUUGAUCCAGCCCUGGGCAUCUCCAACACACCGGUGCUCUGGCUCCUGCAUCCUGGGGGUCUCCCAAACCCCGUUAUUCCAUCCCCGGAUCCUCACAAACCCCGUUAUUCCAUCCCUGGAUCCUCCCAAACCCCUUUAUUCCAUCCCUGCACCCCUGGAUCCUCACAAACCCCGUUAUUCCAUCCCUGGAUCCUCCCAAACCCCGUUAUUCCAUCCCUGCACCCCUGGAUCCUCACAAACCCCGUUAUUCCAUCCCUGGAUCCUCCCAAACCCCGUUAUUCCAUCCCCUGCACCCCUGGAUGCUCCCAAACCCCGUUAUUCCACCCCUGGAUCCUCCCAAACCCCGUUAUUCCAACCCUGCACCCCGGGGUUCCCUUCACUCCAUCCCCUGCCUCCCCACAUUUUUCCAUUCCCUGCCUUCCUGGUGUCCCCCGCUGCUCCGUCCCCUCCCCCCAGGCCGGUGUCCCCCUGCCACCCCUCUUGUCCNNNNNNNNNNNNNNNNNNNNNNCCCCAGGCGGGGGCCCGGAGGGGCCGGGCAGUCCCGGCUCGCUCCCGGAUCCCGAGGCCGAUCCCGAGGCGCUGCGGGCGGCGCUGCGGGAAUUCCUGCAGGAGCUGCAGGACGCGCAGCGGGAGCGGGAGGAGCUCCGGGUGCAGCUGGGCAGCCUGGGCCGGCGCCUGGCGGAGGCGGAGGCGGAGCGGGACAGCGCCGGGGCCCGCGCGCAGCGGCUCCAGAAACUGCUGGACGAGAGCGAGCAAGGUGCUGGGCAUUUUUGGGAACUGCGGGAUUCGGGGUGGUCUGGUGGCUGCUGGAGCCGCCACAGCGAGCAAGAGCUCGGAGGGAAACUGAGGCACAGGAAGGGGGGCGGUGCUGCCCAGAGCGGAGGAUGCUCCCCGGGAUUUCCUCCAAAAUCCUGGUGGGAAACCUCAUAAAUCCCUAUAAACCCCAGUAAAACCCUUCUCUGCCUCCUUUAAACACCAGUACAAAGUGGUAAAAAAUUCCAUAUAUCCUAAGCCAAAUAAAAUGGGUAAAACCCCUCUGCA
This 1172-nucleotide long non-coding RNA is filed under the name Serinus canaria (Common canary). RNAcentral's name for it is "lncRNA (ENSSCAG00000005136.1)". Lineage: Eukaryota; Metazoa; Chordata; Aves; Passeriformes; Fringillidae. The record is from RNAcentral.